GGGCCCGUAGCUCAGCAAGGUAGAGUGCCGGGCUCCAGAUAUGGAGAACAUUGGGUCUAACGACCCCUGAAGGGGGAUGAGCGGUAUCUGGAAAAGUGAGAGACCCGGUGGUCCGGGGUUCAAGUCCCCGCGGGCCCA
This 138-nucleotide transfer RNA is filed under the name Stygiolobus caldivivus. RNAcentral describes it as "Stygiolobus sp. KN-1 tRNA-Trp". It matches the Rfam family "tRNA". From Rfam's summary of the family: Transfer RNA (tRNA) molecules are approximately 80 nucleotides in length. Their secondary structure includes four short double-helical elements and three loops (D, anti-codon, and T loops). Lineage: Archaea; Thermoproteati; Thermoproteota; Thermoprotei; Sulfolobales; Sulfolobaceae. The record is from RNAcentral.